GACUGCAGGCUGCAACUCGCCUGCACGAAGUCGGAAUUGCUAGUAAUCGUAGGUCAGCAUACUACGGUGAAUACGUUCCCGGGCCUUGUACACACCGCCCGUCAAACCAUGAGAGUUGGCAACACCCGAAGUCGGUAGUCUAACCGCAAGGAGGACGCCGCCGAAGGUGGGGUUGAUGAUUAGGGUUAAGUCGUAACAAGGUAGC
This 205-nucleotide ribosomal RNA is filed under the name uncultured bacterium. Its description in RNAcentral is "partial 16S ribosomal RNA". It matches the Rfam family "Bacterial small subunit ribosomal RNA", at positions 1296 to 1500 of the family's 1533-position model. The record is from RNAcentral.